AAAAACACUGUAGAUAAUAUGAUAGGGUGGCUCCCUUAAUAAUGGUUACAGUAGUAGUGACCAAACGAAGAAGGCGCUUGGGGAUCUUUGCUUGCUGCUAAAUAAACGAGGGAGGGGGUGGCGUCGGGUUGGGCACCAGAUCCAUCUCCUUGCUCCUCCCUCUUGAUCCCUCCAUGUACAGUUGGGGUACCGGACUGCAUUAUAGAAGGAUAGUUAGAUCUCGCAGCGGGUCGUUGGACAUCAAAUCCAUCUCGCACCGGGCAGAUCUAUCUACCGAUCUAUGAAAAAUAAAAAUGCAAUCUAGUAUGUGAUGCGUCCAUCCGCCGAGCCUAAAAGCUGCUGAAAGCCCUCCUGGACUGAUAAAUAAAGCUAGCAUGGUAGACGCACGCUGGCUGAUUGCCGGCCAGCGCAAAAGGCGGCCCAUUAUUAUUCCAUUCCCCCCCUCCGGCUAGCUCCUCGACAGCGAGAGGGAAGGAAACUGAAGAUAAGGAGAGUGAACGCCCCUGCUAAUUACUAACGGCCCCGCACGCACCAUCGAUAACGUAGGACUGUAUCCUUCUUCCUAGCGUGUCAAGCAUGUACGUAUGUUAUUGUAGGGGCGCAC
This 604-nucleotide long non-coding RNA is filed under the name Hordeum vulgare. RNAcentral's name for it is "long non-coding RNA (HVUL_LNC005584)". The record is from RNAcentral. Lineage: Eukaryota; Viridiplantae; Streptophyta; Magnoliopsida; Poales; Poaceae.